Molecule: ribosomal RNA, 460 nt
Filed under: uncultured bacterium
Lineage: Bacteria
Description: partial 16S ribosomal RNA
Rfam family: Bacterial small subunit ribosomal RNA
Source: RNAcentral
CCUACGGGUGGCAGCAGUGAGGAAUAUUGGUCAAUGGACGCAAGUCUGAACCAGCCAUGCCGCGUGCAGGAAGACGGCUCUAUGAGUUGUAAACUUCUUUUGUACGAGGGUAAACGCAGAUACGCGUAUCUGUCUGAAAGUACCGUACGAAUAAGGAUCGGCUAACUCCGUGCCAGCAGCCGCGGUAAUACGGAGGAUUCAAGCGUUAUCCGGAUUUAUUGGGUUUAAAGGGUGCGUAGGCGGUCGGGUAAGUUAGAGGUGAAAUCCCGAGGCUCAACUUCGGAAUUGCCUCUGAUACUGUUCGGCUAGAGAGUAGGUGCGGUAGGCGGAAUGUAUGGUGUAGCGGUGAAAUGCUUAGAGAUCGUGCAGAACACCGAUUGCGAAGGCAGCUUACCAGGCUACUUCUGACGUUGAGGCACGAAAGCGUGGGGAGCGAACAGGAUUAGAUACCCUAGUAGUC